This 21-nucleotide small nuclear RNA is filed under the name Arabidopsis thaliana (thale cress). Its description in RNAcentral is "snRNA_05513". The record is from RNAcentral. Lineage: Eukaryota; Viridiplantae; Streptophyta; Magnoliopsida; Brassicales; Brassicaceae.
GUGCAAAUCGUUCGUCUGACU